GUGCUCGCUCCGGCAGCACAUAUACUAAAAUUGGAAUGAUACAGAGAAGAUUAGCAUGGCCCCUGAGCAAGGAUGACAUGCAAAAUAAAAAUUAAAAAAAUAA
This 103-nucleotide small nuclear RNA is filed under the name Prolemur simus (greater bamboo lemur). Lineage: Eukaryota; Metazoa; Chordata; Mammalia; Primates; Lemuridae. The record is from RNAcentral.